RNAcentral lists this non-coding RNA (27 nucleotides) under Homo sapiens (human). The record is from RNAcentral. Lineage: Eukaryota; Metazoa; Chordata; Mammalia; Primates; Hominidae.
CGAGGACGAAGGGAGUCGAUACUCCAG